CCAAAGCUCCGAUUUUGUGACGAGCGCAUCUAUUAGAUUAAAACCAAUCGGGUUUCGGCCCGUAAAUUGGUGACUCUGAAUAACUGUAGCUGAUCGUAUGGUCCAGAACCGGCGACGUGUCUAUCAAGUGUCUGCCUUAUCAACUGUCGAUGGUAGUCUAUGUGCCUACCAUGGUUGUAACGGGUAACGGAGAAUAAGGGUUCGACUCCGGAGAGGGAGCCUGAGAAACGGCUACCACAUCCAAGGAAGGCAGCAGGCGCGCAAAUUACCCACUCUCGGCAUGAGGAGGUAGUGACGAAAAAUAACGAGACCGUUCUCUAUGAGGCCGGUUAUCGGAAUGGGUACAAUUUAAACCCGUUAACGAGGAUCUAUGAGAGGGCAAGUCUGGUGCCAGCAGCCGCGGUAAUUCCAGCUCUCAAAGUGUAUAUCGUCAUUGCUGCGGUUAAAAAGCUCGUAGUUGGAUCUGCGCCUCAGGACUUGGUCCGCCCACUGGGCGAGAACUGGGCUCCUGGGCUAGUUCUGCUGGUUUUCCCUACGUUGCCUUCAUCGGUCGCGUAGGGUGGCUAGCGAGUUUACUUUGAAAAAAUUAGAGUGCUUCACGCGGGCUUAUGUCUGAAUACUCGUGCAUGGAAUAAUGGAAUAGGAUCUCGGUUCUAUUUUGUUGGUUUUCUGAUCUGAGAUAAUGGUUAAGAGGGACGGACGGGGGCAUUCGUAUCGCUGCGUGAGAGGUGAAAUUCUUGGACCGUAGCGAGACGUCCGACUGCGAAAGCAUUUGCCAAGAAUGUCUUCAUUAAUCAAGAACGAAAGUCAGAGGUUCGAAGGCGAUCAGAUACCGCCCUAGUUCUGACCGUAAACGAUACCAACUAGCGUUCCGUCGGCGGUAAAUACGCCUUGACGGGCAGCUUCCCGGAAACGAAAGUCUUUCGGUUCCGGGGGAAGUAUGGUUGCAAAGCUGAAACUUAAAGAAAUUGACGGAAGGGCACCACCAGGAGUGGAGCCUGCGGCUUAAUUUGACUCAACACGGGAAAACUCACCUGGCCCGGACACCGUGAGGAUUGACAGAUUGAGAGCUCUUUCUUGAUUCGGUGGUUGGUGGUGCAUGGCCGUUCUUAGUUGGUGGAGUGAUUUGUCUGGUUUAUUCCGAUAACGAGCGAGACUCUAGCCUACUAAAUAGUCAUCGGAUAAACACAAGUCCGGAAGACUUCUUAGAGGGACAAGCGGUGUUCAGCCGCAUGAAGUUGAGCAAUAACAGGUCUGUGAUGCCCUUAGAUGUCCAGGGCUGCACGCGCGCUACACUGGAGGAAUCAGCGUGCUGUAACCAUUGCCGAAAGGUAUUGGUAACCCGUUGAAA
This 1351-nucleotide ribosomal RNA is filed under the name Toxocara apodemi. Its description in RNAcentral is "SSU rRNA". It matches the Rfam family "Eukaryotic small subunit ribosomal RNA", at positions 174 to 1559 of the family's 1831-position model. Lineage: Eukaryota; Metazoa; Nematoda; Chromadorea; Rhabditida; Toxocaridae. The record is from RNAcentral.